AUUGAACGCUGGCGGCAGGCCUAACACAUGCAAGUCGAGCGGCAGCGGAAAGUAGCUUGCUACUUUGCCGGCGAGCGGCGGACGGGUGAGUAAUGUCUGGGAAACUGCCUGAUGGAGGGGGAUAACUACUGGAAACGGUAGCUAAUACCGCAUAACGUCGCAAGACCAAAGAGGGGGGACCUUCGGGCCUCUUGCCAUCAGAUGUGCCCAGAUGGGAUUAGCUAGUAGGUGGGGUAAUGGCUCACCUAGGCGACGAUCCCUAGCUGGUCUGAGAGGAUGACCAGCCACACUGGAACUGAGACACGGUCCAGACUCCUACGGGAGGCAGCAGUGGGGAAUAUUGCACAAUGGGCGCAAGCCUGAUGCAGCCAUGCCGCGUGUAUGAAGAAGGCCUUCGGGUUGUAAAGUACUUUCAGCGGGGAGGAAGGUGUUGCGGUUAAUAACCGCAGCAAUUGACGUUACCCGCAGAAGAAGCACCGGCUAACUCCGUGCCAGCCGCCGCCGUAC
RNAcentral lists this ribosomal RNA (507 nucleotides) under uncultured bacterium. Its description in RNAcentral is "partial 16S ribosomal RNA". It matches the Rfam family "Bacterial small subunit ribosomal RNA", at positions 30 to 523 of the family's 1533-position model. The record is from RNAcentral.